Molecule: ribosomal RNA, 279 nt
Filed under: uncultured bacterium
Lineage: Bacteria
Description: partial 16S ribosomal RNA
Rfam family: Bacterial small subunit ribosomal RNA
Source: RNAcentral
UGCCAGCCGCCGCGGUAAUACGUAGGUGGCAAGCGUUGUCCGGAAUUAUUGGGCGUAAAGCGCGCGCAGGUGGUUUCUUAAGUCUGAUGUGAAAGCCCACGGCUCAACCGUGGAGGGUCAUUGGAAACUGGGGAACUUGAGUGCAGAAGAGGAAAGUGGAAUUCCAAGUGUAGCGGUGAAAUGCGUAGAUAUUUGGAGGAACACCAGUGGCGAAGGCGACUUUCUGGUCUGUAACUGACACUGAGGCGCGAAAGCGUGGGGAGCAAACAGGAUUAGAUA